This 2591-nucleotide long non-coding RNA is filed under the name Homo sapiens (human). RNAcentral's name for it is "HSALNT0344983". Lineage: Eukaryota; Metazoa; Chordata; Mammalia; Primates; Hominidae. The record is from RNAcentral.
UCCAAAGUCGAUUUAAGAUAGUUUACAAUAAAUGCAGAGUUAUGUUUUUAAGGGAAAAGGGAAAAAUGAGAAAUGAUGGAGAAAGUACUUUUCCACUUUUCAGGAAUUAAAAUAGUCAUGGAAAGAAAAAUAAAGUAUCAGGAAAUACAGGUAUCAAGUCAUUUAGUCUAAAUUACUUCUCACUGUACUUUGUUAAAAGGAGAUCAGAAUUUCAAAGACCAGAAGAGGUUGCUGAGAGUGGAAUUGUCCAGCCAUUGCAGCCCUCCUUCCACGGGAGAAAAGAAAGAGGUCUUGGACAAAUGUGGGAUUCCUGUGGUCUGGAAGUAAAUCUGAGGUGGGGUCUUGCUAUGUCACCCAGGCUGGAGUGCAGUGACUAUUCACAGGCAUGAUCAUCGCACACUACAGUGUUAAACUCUGGGCUUAAGCCAUCCUCCUGCCUCAGUCUCUCAAGUAGCUGGGACCACAGGCACAUGCCACCAUGCCUGGCUUGUACUUGAUUUUUAAAGUUCUUGGCAAUGUGUUUCUUAACAAUUAUCUUUGAAAAAUUGUCUUUUGUUGGCAUGUUCUUCUCAUGCAAUUGGAGACAGUUCUUCCUGCUAGUUUCACAUUUUACCUUUUUGGUGGGUUCUACUUGCCCAUUCCACACUGAUAGGAGCAUUUUUUCCCCCCUUUCUUUCCUUUUAUUAUUUUUAUUUUUUAACUUCCUGUGUUAGGCACCAAACCAUACUGCUCUGCCCCUGUUACCAAGAACUUAUGUUGCCAGUAUAAAUAAGAUCACCUGCUUUGUGCAUUGCCGUUCAGAGUGGCAGGGAGUUCAAGAUCCAGUGGUUUCGGGGUAGCACUCCAGGCUGGUAUACAUGGCCUUUUGGACCAUUCAAGUCUACCAGCAGUAAGGAAGAUUAAAGAAAUUGGCAGGAUCUUCAGUGUCAGCCAAUAUUAUCAGCAACUGCUGCACAUUCCGGAAGAACAUCAACACCCCUACUUUGACCCACACGAAUCAAUCGUCCUUGCUGCACCAGUUCUUCUGUAGCACCUGGAAGUGCUGCCAAACAAGGGGCUGACUGGCCAGGGUUGGCUCUUCCAGCCAGCAUUGUUUGUCCUGGGUCUCCAGAAACUGUCUCAUCAGCACUGAAUCUGCAAAUAUGAGUAACAUACACCUGGACAGAGCCCUGGAGGGGGCAGAGAGGUGUUCAGGGAUCAGCAGACGCGCUGAAAAACGGAUCGUCUUGCUGCAGGUGUGGUGGCUGCCAAGGCAGGCAGAGCCCUUUGGAUAGAGCCACAUCUGAGGUAUCUUUUCAUUUCCAAGCUUUAAAAAAGCACGAUGUUUCUUGAUGUAGGUUCUCCAUCGUCUGGCCUCUGCCUAUUCCCAUAGCACAUCCCCUGCUGGCCACUGCCACACACUGUAGACGUCCACCAAUGCCAAGUUGCUUGGUGGGCCCCACACACCCCAUGCUAUUUCCCACCUCCAGGCUCUGCUCAUAAAAUUCCUUCUGCCCUGUUGACUAGAGGAGUGCCCAGCAUGGAGUAGCCACCCAGGCAUGAUUAUGGAACUGAGCUCAUGAGACUUCAGGUCCCUUCUCUUCAUGUGGAGUCUCGCUGUGUCUCCCAGGCUGGAGUGCAGUGGCGUGAUCUCGGCUCACUUGUCUCCCAAGUUCAAGCAAUUCUCCUGCCUCAGCCUCCCGAGUAGCUGGGAUUACCGGCAUGUGCCACCACGCCCAGCUAACUUUUUAUAUUUUUUAGUAGAGAUGGGGUUCACCAUGUUGGUCAGGCUGGUCUCGAACUCCUGGCCUCAAAUGAUCUGCCCGCCUCGGCCUCCCAAACUGCUGGGAUUACAGGCGUGAGCCACCACACCUGGCCUGCGCACUCUUUAAGGCUUCUCCUUGGUCCAUUCCCCAUAGACAUGAGAUCUGACCUGUCUCAGCAUAGGCUAAGCCUAUCCCAGAGGCAUAGAUGCUGAUCAGAAUUGUAAGCUGGAGAAGAUAACACUUUCCAUUAGAUUAACCAACAACAUGAAUACAGCUUCUAGAAAUAUCUCAGGUAAUGAAUGAGACUGCCUCAUCCAAAUUACAAACAUAUCCAGGUUGUGAUAAUAUCUGUUUCUGUUAACAUAAUGGUCCUUAGUUGCUAUGGUAAUCUUCUCCGUUGACCUGACUCUAGUGGAUGAGGUUAUCAGGGCCCUAUCACUUCCCAGCAUCAAAGCAAUCUUCUAAUCUGCCACACAAACUAGGGCAUUUUUGAAGGUCAGAAGGAUUGCUAUUUAUAAUACACCAAUGCAACAGGUAUAAAUAAGACAGUUCCUGGCAAAUUGAGAUACAUGGUGACAUUUCCUAUCAGACUUUAAAGUAUCUCACAUAAAUAGAUCCUCAACAAGUGUUUCCUGGAUGAAUAUAUUUGUUUUUUCCUCCGUUGUAAUUUAAGUUUCUUAAGAACAGAGGUGGCUGGGUGCGGUGGCUCACGCCUGUAAUCCCAGCACUUUGAGAGGCCAAAGCUGGUCGAUUACCUGAGGUCAGGAGAUCAAGACCAUCCUGGCUAACACGGUGAAACCCCGUCUCUACUAAAAAUACAAAAAAUUAGCUGCACGUGGUGGCGGG